This 253-nucleotide ribosomal RNA is filed under the name uncultured bacterium. RNAcentral describes it as "partial 16S ribosomal RNA". It matches the Rfam family "Bacterial small subunit ribosomal RNA", at positions 524 to 776 of the family's 1533-position model. The record is from RNAcentral.
UACGGAGGGUGCAAGCGUUAUCCGGAUUCACUGGGUUUAAAGGGUGCGUAGGCGGGCAGGUAAGUCAGUGGUGAAAUCUCCAGGCUUAACUUGGAAACUGCCAUUGAUACUAUCAGUCUUGAAUACCGUGGAGGUCAGCGGAAUAUGUCAUGUAGCGGUGAAAUGCUUAGAUAUGACAUAGAACACCAAUUGCGAAGGCAGCUGGCUACACGAAUAUUGACACUGAUGCACGAAAGCGUGGGGAGCAAACAGG